Molecule: transfer RNA, 66 nt
Filed under: Marmessoidea bispina
Lineage: Eukaryota; Metazoa; Arthropoda; Insecta; Phasmatodea; Lonchodidae
Description: tRNA-Leu
Source: RNAcentral
AUUAAUUUGGCAGAUUUAAGUGCAUUAAAUUUAGAAUUUAAUUAUGUUAUUUAUUGACAAUUAAUA